AAUAUGUGUCAUUUUGUAUUAAUGGAAUUUGAUCUCAUGGUUGCCGUACAAGUCCACUUUGAGCCUUAAGCUAUAUUUCAAAGUAACCCUAAAAGACAAAUGUGAGAAACUACCCCAAGCAACCCGUAAGACAUGGUUAGAAGUAUCACUCAGUGAUGGUAGAAACACUGGAUACCUCGACUUCAGACCAAACCGACCUCGACAGCCUCGGUAUAGACUGAGGUAAACAACUUCGGCCCCAGCUGAGAAGCCCGCCAACCGACGUGAAC
RNAcentral lists this long non-coding RNA (269 nucleotides) under Phoenix dactylifera (date palm). RNAcentral's name for it is "long non-coding RNA (PDAC_LNC018480)". The record is from RNAcentral. Lineage: Eukaryota; Viridiplantae; Streptophyta; Magnoliopsida; Arecales; Arecaceae.